CCCCCCGUAGCUCAGUGGAUAGAGCAGGAGCCUUCUAAUCUCUUGGUCAGGCGUUCGAGUCGCCUCGGGGGGACCA
This 76-nucleotide transfer RNA is filed under the name Microbacterium jiangjiandongii. RNAcentral describes it as "tRNA-Arg". It matches the Rfam family "tRNA". Rfam says of the family: Transfer RNA (tRNA) molecules are approximately 80 nucleotides in length. Their secondary structure includes four short double-helical elements and three loops (D, anti-codon, and T loops). Lineage: Bacteria; Bacillati; Actinomycetota; Actinomycetes; Micrococcales; Microbacteriaceae. The record is from RNAcentral.